AAAACGGUGCAUUUAGCCGAAAUCUAAACAAAGCAAAAAAUUUUCUUAAGUCCUAAACUGUACACAACUCACCAUCGCCAUCGUCAUUCUGACUCUCGCAAAGGCCACUCAAACCCGAGGCACGUUCAUCGUCACUCUCACUCCACAAUCAGCACUGUAACCUUAGCCACAAUCAUCGUGACACUCUCAAUCAAUUAGCCUACACUCACCAUAGUCAUUAUCACUCUCACUCUCACAAACGACAUUCAAACCCUAGGCACAAUUAUCAUCACUCUCACUUUCACAAUUAGCACUCAAAACCUAGCCAAAUCCAUUCCCUAUAUAUAGUUUUCCAUACACAAUCAGCAACUACCACCAUCGAGCAAACGACAAAGCAACACCCAAAUCACAGACCCAUGACAAAAUUCAAGCCGGUUACCAUGACCACAAAUUGCGAUGGCGUGACGCAACCAGAACCAUCAACUCCCUGACUUUGUCACGUGAACUAGAGGAUUGCAGCCCUAAACCUUGAAUUCCAGGUUUUGUUUUUCUUCUUCAUCUAAUUUUGUUUAAAGCCCUAAGUGGUUGAGAGAAAUUUUGUAUUUUGGAGAGUUUGUGAGUAAGUGACUGACUGAUUGACUAAAUGAAAUGAUGGGUUUGGUUAAGAAGUUGCAUUAGAU
This 659-nucleotide long non-coding RNA is filed under the name Citrus sinensis (sweet orange). RNAcentral describes it as "long non-coding RNA (CSIN_LNC005662)". Lineage: Eukaryota; Viridiplantae; Streptophyta; Magnoliopsida; Sapindales; Rutaceae. The record is from RNAcentral.